Molecule: unclassified non-coding RNA, 347 nt
Filed under: uncultured fungus
Lineage: Eukaryota; Fungi
Description: partial contains 5.8S ribosomal RNA, internal transcribed spacer 2, and large subunit ribosomal RNA
Source: RNAcentral
AACGCACAUUGCGCUCCUUGGUAUUCCGGGGAGCACGCCUGUUUGAGAAUCAUUAAAAUCUCUCACCCUUGUUGGUGGAUCUGAACCUUUCUUUCCUUGCGAAAGAAUGGUUUGAAAUUGAAUGUCGGGAAAUCUUUCGGUACCAUUCCGUAUCAGGGUUUCAAGCGCAUGAAAGGGUGUUUACACUUUAUCUGGUCCGCUUGCCUUGUGGUAUGUUGAACUGAUUGGUUUUGCGUACUGGCCAGACGAGGCAACUCGAUUGGCAAUUCAAAGGGUGCAGUGGCAAUCUGUCAUCGAGCUCUUGAACUCUUGGUCUCAAAUCAGGUGGGAAAACCCGCUGAACUUAA